This 1349-nucleotide long non-coding RNA is filed under the name Equus asinus (donkey). RNAcentral's name for it is "lncRNA (ENSEASG00005036464.1)". Lineage: Eukaryota; Metazoa; Chordata; Mammalia; Perissodactyla; Equidae. The record is from RNAcentral.
GAGGGGAGAGCCCGGGGACACGGUUGGUGGGAAGAGACACCAGGACCAGGAAUUGUGCACAGUGCUCAGCAUUUAUUUGCAAGAUUGAAACUGGGUGGGUGGAGGGGGUGCUGUGUGGUGCCCACCCCUCCCCGCCUGCCCCUCAGCUGUCACAGCUUCAGGUCCAGGUCAUGGGCAGGCAGCCACCCUAUGUGACACCACCUCUUGGAGGCAGCCAGCCUUGCCUGGACAGGCCUCAGUCCUCAGUCUGCUGCGGGAAUCUGUGCCCCACGGGGCUUCGAGGAGAGAUGGGGGCACCCAGGCCCGCAGUGGGGAGCUGCGCAGUGGUGGAUGUGUGGUUUUGCUCCAGGGUGCUCUCUGACACCAGGAAGGGGUGAGUCUGGGUGGAAUGGGUAUUUGUGUUUCCACUGAGGGGCAGGCCCUGAUGGCCGGGCAGGGCCCCGCCGGGUGCCGUCCUCAAGCAGACCCUCCCUGCCCCGCCCCAGGUUUCCGUGCUUGGGCUGGGCAUGUUCUGCCUCCAGACAUGGAGGGCGUGUGGGACGGGGGCAGAAUGACGACCGGCAGUGGUGGCCUCCUAGAGCAGGAGGAUGGGGGUGCUGUCCUCUGGAGCCUCGGGUGAGGGGGCGCAGCCCGGGGUGCAGCUGCACGCGUCCACGUGGAUGUAGGUGUACUGGAUGGUUGUCCCAUCGGGACACUGCAGGGUCACCACCUCCUGGUGGGCCCUCUUCUCCUGGCAGCAGGUGCACUCGUGCUGCAUGGCCUGGGCCUCCAGGGAGUACCUGCGGACACACGGUGCCCUCAGGACGCGCCCACCUGGCCCACUAUGGGGGUUCUGGAGAUGGCCGGUUCUCUGAGCACGCGGGGCUUGUCCUUCCGGGCCGCGGCGACGCUCAGGGUCCCUCUGAACCCCGCUCUUCCUCCAUCCAGCAGCCCAAACUUGCUGACUCCCGCAGGCCCCCGCCCCUUCCUCGGCCUUGAGCCAGCCCGGCCCAUCUUCCACCUUUCUGGCCGACUGCGUCCACGCGGACACUGCCCGCGGCCACUCACACGGACAAGCCCAGGCAGGAGCCCUCGCAGAAGGGGACGUUGACGAGCGCCGGGCUGACGCAGUCCCCGAGCCGCAGCGCCUUUCUUUGAACGCGGACCCGGCAGGAAUCUGGAAGGGGGACAGGCAGGAGAGGGGUCUGAGGACCCUCCCGGGCGCCCCGCUCCCGACCUCCCGCCCGCGCUCAGGGGGGCUCUAGGGCGGGGUGGGAAGGCGCUUCCACUUACCAUCCUCGCAGGAGUAGCAGCAGCCGCGUUUCUGGAGGACGCCCUGCGGGGACAGCGGGGCUUGAGCGGGCCUCCAG